GUGCCAGCCGCCGCGGUAAUACGUAGGGUCCGAGCGUUGUCCGGAAUUAUUGGGCGUAAAGAGCUCGUAGGCGGUUUGUCGCGUCUGCUGUGAAAUCUCCAGGCUCAACCUGGAGCCUGCAGUGGGUACGGGCAGACUUGAGUGCGGUAGGGGAGAAUGGAAUUCCUGGUGUAGCGGUGGAAUGCGCAGAUAUCAGGAGGAACACCGAUGGCGAAGGCAGUUCUCUGGGCCGUAACUGACGCUGAGGAGCGAAAGCGUGGGGAGCGAACAGGAUUAGAUACCCUGGUAGUCC
RNAcentral lists this ribosomal RNA (292 nucleotides) under uncultured bacterium. RNAcentral describes it as "partial 16S ribosomal RNA". It matches the Rfam family "Bacterial small subunit ribosomal RNA", at positions 505 to 796 of the family's 1533-position model. The record is from RNAcentral.